Molecule: ribosomal RNA, 301 nt
Filed under: uncultured bacterium
Lineage: Bacteria
Description: partial 16S ribosomal RNA
Rfam family: Bacterial small subunit ribosomal RNA
Source: RNAcentral
CAGCCGCCACGGUAAUACGUAGGGUGCAAGCGUUAAUCGGAAUUACUGGGCGUAAAGCGUGCGCAGGCGGUGUUGUAAGACAGAUGUGAAAUCCCCGGGCUCAACCUGGGAACUGCAUUGGUGACUGCAACGCUGGAGUGCGGCAGAGGGGGAUGGAAUUCCGCGUGUAGCAGUGAAAUGCGUAGAUAUGCGGAGGAACACCGAUGGCGAAGGCAAUCCCCUGGGCCUGCACUGACGCUCAUGCACGAAAGCGUGGGGAGCAAACAGGAUUAGAUACCCCUGUAGUCCCUGUCUCUUAUAC